RNAcentral lists this ribosomal RNA (253 nucleotides) under uncultured bacterium. RNAcentral's name for it is "partial 16S ribosomal RNA". It matches the Rfam family "Bacterial small subunit ribosomal RNA", at positions 524 to 776 of the family's 1533-position model. The record is from RNAcentral.
UACAGAGGUCCCGAGCGUUGUUCGGAUUCACUGGGCGUAAAGCGCGUGUAGGCGGCCAUGUAGGUCUGACGUGAAAUUCCGAGGCUCAACCUCGGCAGGUCGUUGGAAACCAUAUGGCUAGAGUCCGGAAGAGGAGAGUGGAAUUCCUGGUGUAGCGGUGAAAUGCGCAGAUAUCAGGAAGAACACCAAUGGCGAAGGCAGCUCUCUGGGACGGUACUGACGCUGAGACGCGAAAGCGUGGGGAGCGAACAGG